RNAcentral lists this transfer RNA (80 nucleotides) under Fusarium pseudograminearum CS5834. RNAcentral describes it as "tRNA-Glu". Lineage: Eukaryota; Fungi; Ascomycota; Sordariomycetes; Hypocreales; Nectriaceae. The record is from RNAcentral.
AAAAAAAAAUUAGGGUAUAGACAAGGACAAGUGUUGAGGGGGGAAAACCCUCAGCAAGUUGACUCCCUUAUAUAUUUUUU